UGCGUAGGCGGUCCCGCAAGUCCGCUGUGAAAUCCCCGGGCUUAACCUGGGAAUGGCAGUGGAAACUAGGGGACUUGAAUCUGGCAGAGGGGGGUGGAAUGCCACGUGUAGCAGUGAAAUGCGUAGAGAUGUGGCGGAACACCGAUGGCGAAGGCAGCCCCCUGGGCUGAGAUUGACGCUCAGGCACGAAAGCGUGGGGAGCAAACAGGAUUAGAUACCCUGGUAGUCCACGCCCUAAACGAUGAUCACUAGGUGUUGGGGAAGCGAUUUCUCAGUACCGCAGCUAACGCGUGAAGUGAUCCGCUGGGGAGUACGGUCGCAAGAUUAAA
This 329-nucleotide ribosomal RNA is filed under the name uncultured bacterium. Its description in RNAcentral is "bacterial SSU rRNA". It matches the Rfam family "Bacterial small subunit ribosomal RNA", at positions 568 to 898 of the family's 1533-position model. The record is from RNAcentral.